CCUACGGGUGACAGCAGUAGGGAAUCUUCCACAAUGGGCGAAAGCCUGAUGGAGCAACGCCGCGUGGGUGAAGAAGGUCUUCGGAUCGUAAAACCCUGUUGUUAGAGAAGAAAGUGCGUGAGAGUAACUGUUCACGUUUCGACGGUAUCUAACCAGAAAGCCACGGCUAACUACGUGACAGCAGCCGCGGUAAUACGUAGGUGGCAAGCGUUAUCCGGAUUUAUUGGGCGUAACGGGAACGCAGGAGGUCUUUUAAGUCUGAUGUGAAAGCCUUCGGCUUAACCGGAGUAGUGCAUUGGAAACUGGGAGACUUGAGUGCAGAAGAGGAGAGUGGAACUCCAUGUGUAGCGGUGAAAUGCGUAGAUAUAUGGAAGAACACCAGUGGCGAAAGCGGCUCUCUGGUCUGUAACUGACGCUGAGGUUCGAAAGCGUGGGUAGCAAACAGGAUUAGAUACCCUAGUAGUC
This 465-nucleotide ribosomal RNA is filed under the name uncultured bacterium. RNAcentral's name for it is "partial 16S ribosomal RNA". It matches the Rfam family "Bacterial small subunit ribosomal RNA", at positions 338 to 795 of the family's 1533-position model. The record is from RNAcentral.